GCCAAUUCUAGGAGUGGAGCAAAUGUGCUACUCCACACGAUGAGUGUUGAGGUUGUAGGAUUUGAGCGAGUCAAGGAACAAUACCCCACCUGUCCAGAUUUUGGUGUACUUUUCACUUCCUUGAGUGGAGACUCUCCUACCAAUCGCUUAGAUUACCUCCUUAAAGAUGGCUUCCUUUUCAAAGGAAGUAGGUUGUGCAUUCCCAGAACUUCACUUCGAGAUUUCUUGAUCUGGGAAUUGCAUUGCUGGUGGAGUUGUCGGUCAUUUUGGUCGAGGCAAGACCAUUGCUCUUGUUGAGGACCGAUUUUACUGAUCAUGCUUGAAGAGGGAUGUAGCUAGAGUUGUUAGCCAAUGUAGGACAUGUCAGACUGCUAAGCAACAGAAACAGAACAUUGGCCUAUAUACCCUCUUCCUAUGCCUCACACCCCAUGGCAAGACCUCAGCAUGGACUUUGUGCUUGGUCUGCCGAAAACUUCGAGGGGCCAUGAUUCUAUCUUUGUGGUUAUAGACUGCUUCUC
Molecule: long non-coding RNA, 518 nt
Organism: Telopea speciosissima
Lineage: Eukaryota; Viridiplantae; Streptophyta; Magnoliopsida; Proteales; Proteaceae
Exons: 3
Source: RefSeq, a predicted model, not a curated record